RNAcentral lists this ribosomal RNA (465 nucleotides) under uncultured bacterium. Its description in RNAcentral is "partial 16S ribosomal RNA". It matches the Rfam family "Bacterial small subunit ribosomal RNA", at positions 28 to 507 of the family's 1533-position model. The record is from RNAcentral.
GACGAACGCUGGCGGCGUGCUUAACACAUGCAAGUCGAACGGAAAGGCCCUGCUUGCAGGGUACUCGAGUGGCGAACGGGUGAGUAACACGUGGGUGAUCUGCCCUGCACUUCGGGAUAAGCCUGGGAAACUGGGUCUAAUACCGGAUAGGAGCCAUUUUUAGUGUGAUGGUUGGAAAGUUUUGUCGGUGUAGGAUGAGCUCGCGGCCUAUCAGCUUGUUGGUGGGGUAAUGGCCUACCAAGGCGGCGGCGGGUAGCCGGCCUGGGAGGGUGGACGGCCACAUUGGGACUGAGAUACGGCCCAGACUCCUACGGGAGGGAGCAGGGGGGAAGAUUGCACAAGGGGCGCAAGCCUGAUGCAGCGACGCCGCGGGGGGGAUGACGGCCUUCGGGUUGGAAACUCGUUUCGCUAGGGACGGAGCUUUUUGUGACGGUACCUAGAUAAGAAGCACCGGCUAACUACGUG